AAAGAAGUCAAAACUCGGUGAGCCUGGGCAAAAUUGGCCUUUCUUAGUCUUUGCUCUGUUCUCGUUACACGAUAACAAGCAAAGAAGGGCAGCUGUAAGGCCCAAUUUUAUGCCCAGGCCCGAAUAUUAAAACAAGAUAAACAACAGUCCAAUUACAAAGGAAAAUAACAAGCCCAAUGUAGCCCAUGGCCCAAAACAAAAAUUAAAAACCCAGCCCAGACAACAUUAACAUUUUCGGUAGAAAGAUGCCCCCCAAACCCUAGCGCCGCAUGCCUCGCGUGGCCUCCUCGUCUGCCACGCCCAGCUCUCCAUGCCACCAUGUCGGCCACCUGCUCCUCUAUACCACCAUACCUCUGUCACCUUCACCCAUUCCCUGCAGGACCAGAAAGAAGACAAGACAAUAAAAUACAAUUUUGAAAAGGCUAUAAAAGCCUAUUUGGCUUUCUGUAACGGGGGGGUUUCUUUUUUUGUUGUUGUUUUUUUCGGCAUUUUAAUACAAAAAACAGAAGCUAGAAUAAAAAAAUACAUAGAUUUCAGUACUGAGAUAGCAAACAUUCGGAGAAAAAGGAAAGGCAAACGGAAAAGGUUAUUUUUUCAUCCAUUUUCUUUCGAUUUCCAUAUACAUAUCUAUACAUUUUUUAAAUUAAUAUAAACCUAAAAUCUAUAUAUUCUAAGACCAAAAAUAAAUAAAAAAUAUAGCAAAAAAAGAGAGAGAAAUUUUACCUUUUCCGGCCACCGCGUGCGGUGGCCGGCGCCGGCGCCGACGAGUCUCCGGUGACCGUCCGGCGACUGGACCCCUGGCCGGAGUCCCAUCGGAAAUCGC
Molecule: long non-coding RNA, 823 nt
Filed under: Gossypium barbadense (sea-island cotton)
Lineage: Eukaryota; Viridiplantae; Streptophyta; Magnoliopsida; Malvales; Malvaceae
Description: long non-coding RNA (GBAR_LNC021509)
Source: RNAcentral